This is a long non-coding RNA of Talpa occidentalis (Iberian mole), 1089 nucleotides long. RefSeq lists it as uncharacterized. The record is from RefSeq and is a predicted model, not a curated record. The transcript is spliced from 3 exons. Lineage: Eukaryota; Metazoa; Chordata; Mammalia; Eulipotyphla; Talpidae.
AAUGGGACACAGGAAGCCUGUAGUCCAACAGCAAGCAGCUAUCUUGAAACAGAGUGUUGAGGUCAUAAUUGCAGGGUAGUGGAGGGGCCGGCAGAUGGCCAGGUAUCGGUCAUAGGACAUGGCAGUAAGAAGGUAGCAUUCAGAACCCCCUAGGGCAUGGAAGAAGUAGGUCUGAAGGAGGCAACCGGCGAAAGAAAUGGUCUUUUUCUCACUGAGAAGAUUAGCCAGCAUCUUGGGGAUGGUUGCAGCUGUAUACCACAGUUCCAGGAAGGAGAGGAUACUGAUAAAGUGGUACAUAGGUUUGUGUAGAGCUGCAUUCAGUCUUAUGACUAGGAAGAUGAGCAAGUUGCCACAGACUGUGAACAGAGCCCUUGUCCCAUGAGUGCAGGAAGCCAGCGAGGGAGAGGAGACAAAUGAAUGACCAGAUCUCUUAUCAUGGGCCCACCUCUCAGCCCCCAAUUUCUCCAGCUGGCGUGCGCCUGUCACCUACCAGUCACGGAGCUUGAAGAGCUCUCUUUCCUGCCUCAGAUAUAUGCUUAGACUGAGACUGGAUCCAGACACCUUUCCUCUCUCUCAGCAAGUCCAAUCCUCAUAGGAAAAGUCCCCAGAGUCAUCCUGACUGCUUCAGGACUUGAAGGUAUGGGAGUGACCCCAGCCCCAGAGACAAGUGAGACUUCGGCUGGGCUCCCAGGAGGGCACUGGAGAGAGGCCAGUUUGCCUUCUGCAGGAAGGCUCAGAGGGCCUUCCCCAGCACAAGCUACCCCGCCCCCUCUCCACACCGCCUCUGUGACUUCUAUUCGAGCCCAGGAAAACUUCAUACUAUGCCAUCUCUUCAACCAAUUUCUUUCCCCAGUCUUGUGCAUGAUGCGGUCCCACAUUGUUCUUCACUUGAGAAGCCUCUCCAGUAGGAGCUACCUUUUCUGGGGUUGGGGGUGGGGGUUCCUAUGAGAAGAUUUGUGUUAUAGUGAAAUGAAGCUGGACUUUUUCUGGGUUGGAUCCUGUCUGCUACUAGAACUUGAGUGUCUUAAUGAAUGAUAUCUAGAAGAAAGACUAAGCCUGUGUUUGAUAAAGAAGCAGCGGUCACUCAUU